RNAcentral lists this ribosomal RNA (253 nucleotides) under uncultured bacterium. RNAcentral's name for it is "partial 16S ribosomal RNA". It matches the Rfam family "Bacterial small subunit ribosomal RNA", at positions 524 to 776 of the family's 1533-position model. The record is from RNAcentral.
UACGAAGGGGGCGAGCGUUGUUCGGAAUUACUGGGCGUAAAGGGCGCGCAGGCGGCUCUGAAAGUCAGAUGUGAAAGCCCCAGGCUUAACCUGGGAAUUGCAUUUGAUACUCUGGAGCUUGAGUACGGGAGAGGAGAGUGGAAUUCCCAGUGUAGAGGUGAAAUUCGUAGAUAUUGGGAAGAACACCGGUGGCGAAGGCGGCUCUCUGGACCGUAACUGACGCUGAGGCGCGAAAGCGUGGGGAGCAAACAGG